This 90-nucleotide non-coding RNA is filed under the name Pseudomonas baetica. The record is from RNAcentral. Lineage: Bacteria; Pseudomonadati; Pseudomonadota; Gammaproteobacteria; Pseudomonadales; Pseudomonadaceae.
UGUGGGAGCGAGCCUGCUCGCGAAGGCGUCGGGCCAGUCAACAUCAAAGAUGAAUGACCCACCGCUUUCGCGAGCAGGCUCGCUCCCACA